UGACAGGAAAAAAUAAUGAUGAUUGUUGGAGGGGAUGUGGGAAAACUGGGACAUUGAUUCAUUGUUGGUGGAGUUGUGAACGAAUCCAACCAUUUUGGAGAGUAGUUUGGAACUAUGCUCAAAAAGUUAUCAAACUGUGCAUACCCUUUGAUCCAGCAGUGUUACUACUGGGAUUAUAUCCCAAAGAGAUUAUAAAGAAGGGAAAGGGACCUGUAUGUGCACGAAUGUUUGUGGCAGCCCUUUUUGUAGUGGCUAGAAACUGGAAACUGAAUGGAUGUCCAUCAGUUGGAGAAUGGCUGAAUAAAUUGUGGUAUAUGAAAAUUAUGGAAUAUUACUGUUCUGUAGGAAAUGACCAACAGGAUGAUUUCAGAAAGGCCUGGAGAGACUUACACGGACUGAUGCUGAGUGGGGUGAGCAGGACCAGGAGAUCAUUAUAUACUUCAACAACAAUACUAGAUGAUGACUAGUCCUGAUGGAUCAGGCCAUCCUCAGCAACAAGAUCAACCAAAUCAUUUCUAAUGGAGCAGUAAUGAACUGAACUAACUAUACCCAGAAAAAGAACUCUGGGAGAUGACUAAAAACCAUUACAUUGAAUUCCCAGUCCCUAUAUUUAUGCACACCUGCAUCUUUGAUUUCCUUCACAAGCUAAUUGUACAAUAAUUCAGAGUCUGGUUCUUUUUGUACAGCAAAAUAAUGUUUUGGUCAUGUAUACUUAUUGUGUAUCUAAGUUAUAUUUUAAUAUAUUUAACAUCUGCUGGUCAUCCUGCCAUUUGGGGGAGGGGGUGGGGGGGGGGUGAGAGGUGAGGAAUUGGAACAAGGGGUUUGGCGGUUGUUGAUGCUGUGAAGUUACCCAUGUAUGUGUCCUGUAAGUUAAAGGCUAUUAAAUAAAAAAAAAAAAAAAAAGAAAGAUCUCAUAGAGAUCUUCCAAGGCUGUCAUAUGGAGGAAGAAUUAGACUUGUAUUAUUUGGCCCCAGACAGUAAAAGGUAAAAUGAGCUAUUUUAGCCUUGAUGCCAGGGGAAAAAAAUACUUCCUAACAAUCAGAGGUGGAUACAACAAUAUAAACAGAAAGAAUCAUAAAAGAAUUAAAAAUUAAUGAGCAAUUCCUGGGUGUGGAACCCUGCAACAUUUUCAGAUUUUUUCAAUGUAUUGAUUGGUUUUGCUGAUUUUUCUUUUCGUCCUUUUUUUUCUUUUAAAAAAUUUUCUUAGUUAAAUAAGAUGGCUCUUUAGAAGGUGAAGUGGAAAGAUGAAGAAACUGAGGCAAUGAUCCUGAAUUCAGGAGGACCUGAAUUCAAAUCUAGCUUCAGACACUUAACACUUCCUAGCUGUGACACCCUGGGCAAGUCACUUAAUCCCAAUUGCCUCAGGGGAAAAAAAAGAAACUGAGGCAAUGGAAAAAAUAAAAUAUUUCUUUAAAUAUACAGAGAAAAAAAAGUCAGGUCAUAAAGACAAAAGCAGCUUUAAGAGUUCUAUAUUCAUUUUAUUAUAGAAAUAUAUUUAAAAGGAAAUAGAACUGUAUAAAAUAGAUUUAUCUUUCAUGUAUAAUAUUCUUUUUUCUCUUCUGUUGUGUAUAUAAGAUAAUGCAUGUUUAAUCAUGAUAAAAUAGAUAAAACAAGAUAAUGAGAGUAUAAUACUAUGUUCUACUAUGUGAGAAAAUUUUGUAUGUAUAAUAAUGAUUCAAAUAAAGAUAAAAUGAG
Molecule: long non-coding RNA, 1695 nt
Organism: Sarcophilus harrisii (Tasmanian devil)
Lineage: Eukaryota; Metazoa; Chordata; Mammalia; Dasyuromorphia; Dasyuridae
Source: Ensembl